Molecule: ribosomal RNA, 2017 nt
Filed under: human gut metagenome
Description: bacterial LSU rRNA
Rfam family: Bacterial large subunit ribosomal RNA
Source: RNAcentral
GGGGACCAUCCUCCAAGGCUAAAUACUCGUGAUCGACCGAUAGCGUACUAGUACUGUGAAGGAAAGGUUAAAAGAACCCCGGGAGGGGAGUGAAAUAGAUUCUGAAACCGCAUGCAUACAAACAGUAGGAGCCCUUCGGGGUGACUGCGUACCUUUUGCAUAAUGGGUCAGCGACUUAUGUUAUGUGGCAAGCCUAACCGACUAGGGGAGGCGCAGCGAAAGCGAGUCCGAACAGGGCGAUUCAGUCGCAUGGCAUAGACCCGAAACCAGAUGAGCUAACCAUGGCCAGGCUGAAGGUGUGGUAACACACACUGGAGGGCCGAACCUACUGGUGUUGCAAAACCAGAGGAUGAGCUGUGGUUAGGGGUGAAAGGCUUAACAAAUCUGGAGAUAGCUGGUUCUCCCCGAAAACUAUUGAGGUAGUGCCUUGCGCAUGAGCUUCUGGGGGUAGAGCACUGUUAUAGCUAGGGGGACAUGGCGUCUUACCAAACUAUGGCAAACUCCGAAUACCAGAAAGCUUCGCGCGGGAGACAGAGCACCGGGUGCUAACGUCCGGACUCAAAAGGGAAUCAACCCAGACCGCCAGCUAAGGUCCCUAAUAUCAGCUAAGUGGAAAACGAAGUGGAAAGGCUAAAACAGUCAGGAAGUUGGCUUAGAAGCAGCCAUCCUUCAAAGAAAGCGUAAUAGCUCACUGAUCGAGUCCUUCCGCGCGGAAGAUGUAACGGGGCUAAGUUGAUAACCGAAGCUGCGGAUUCACACUUUGAGUGUGAGUGGUAGGGGAGCGUUCUGUAAGCCUGUGAAGGUGGAUCGUAAGGUCUGCUGGAGGUAUCAGAAGUGCGAAUGCUGACAUGAGUAACGAUAAAGCGGGUGAAAAGCCCGCUCGCCGCAAACCCAAGGUUUCCUGCUCUACGUUAAUCGGAGCAGGGUGAGUCGGUUCCUAAGGCCAGGCUGAGAAGCGUAGCUGAUGGAAAUCAGGUUAAUAUUCCUGAACCGGCGUUGAAUGCGAUGGGGUGACGGAGCAGCCAGAGUGGACCGGGUGUUGGAUGUCCCGGCUUCCGAGCGAUGGGUGCCUGCAGGCAAAUCCGCAGGCGUAUACCCAGGACGAAGGAUCGGGCCUUCUUUUGAAGGCGAAGCCACUGGAAGCGCUUCCAGGAAAAACCUCUAAGCUUCAGUUCAACGGCGACCGUACCGUAAACCGACACAGGUGGGUGAGCUGAAUAUGCUCAGGCGCUUGAGAGAACUCGGGAGAAGGAACUCGGCAAAUUGACACCGUAACUUCGGAAGAAGGUGUGCCUUUGUAGCUUGACGGGAGAGAAACCCGAAGGGCGAAGAGGUCUCAGAGAAUCGGUGGCUGUAACUGUUUACUAAAAACACAGCGCUCUGCAAAGAUGAAAGUCGACGUAUAGGGCGUGAUGCCUGCCCGGUGCUGGAAGAUUAAUUGAUGGGGUGCAAGCUCCUGAUCGAAGUCCCAGUAAACGGCGGCCGUAACUAUAACGGUCCUAAGGUAGCGAAAUUCCUUGUCGGGCAAGUUCCGACCUGCACGAAUGGCAUAAUAAUGGCCACACUGUCUCCUCCCGAGACUCAGUGAAAUUGAAAUGUUUGUGAUGAUGCAAUCUCCCCGCGGCUAGACGGAAAGACCCCAUGAACCUUAACUGUAGCUUUGCAUUGGACUUUGAACCGAUCUGUGUAGGAUAGGCGGGAGGCUUUGAAGAAUGGACGCCAGUUCAUUCGGAGCCGUCGUUGAAAUACCGCCCUGAUUUGUUUGAGGUUCUAACCUGGGCCAGUGAUCCUGGCUGGGGACCGUGCAUGGUGGGCAGUUUGACUGGGGCGGUCUCCUCCUAAAGGGUAACGGAGGAGUGCGAAGGUACGCUAAUCACGGUCGGAAAUCGUGAGGAUACUGCAAUGGGAAAAGCGUGCCUGACUGCGAGACAGACAAGUCGAGCAGAUGCGAAAGCAGGUCAUAGUGAUCCGGUGGCUUCUGUAUGGAAGGGCCAUCGCUCAACGGAUAAAAGGUACU